RNAcentral lists this ribosomal RNA (435 nucleotides) under uncultured bacterium. Its description in RNAcentral is "bacterial SSU rRNA". It matches the Rfam family "Bacterial small subunit ribosomal RNA", at positions 366 to 799 of the family's 1533-position model. The record is from RNAcentral.
GGACAUUGCCAGCACUCUGAUCAGCCAUGCCGCGUGCAGGAAGACUGCCCUAUGGGUUGUAAACUGCUUUUAUACAGGAAGAAACACCUCUACGUGUAGAGGCUUGACGGUACUGUAAGAAUAAGGAUCGGCUAACUCCGUGCCAGCAGCCGCGGUAAUACGGAGGAUCCAAGCGUUAUCCGGAAUCAUUGGGUUUAAAGGGUCCGUAGGUGGAUAAUUAAGUCAGAGGUGAAAGUCUGCAGCUCAACUGUAGAAUUGCCUUUGAUACUGGUUAUCUUGAAUUAUUAUGAAGUAGUUAGAAUAUGUAGUGUAGCGGUGAAAUGCAUAGAUAUUACAUAGAAUACCAAUUGCGAAGGCAGAUUACUAAUAAUCAAUUGACACUGAUGGACGAAAGCGUAGGUAGCGAAAGGGAUUAGAUACCCCCUGUAGUCAACA